RNAcentral lists this ribosomal RNA (1444 nucleotides) under uncultured prokaryote. RNAcentral describes it as "partial 16S ribosomal RNA". It matches the Rfam family "Bacterial small subunit ribosomal RNA". The record is from RNAcentral.
AUGAACGCUAGCGGCAGGCUUAACACAUGCAAGUCGAGGGGUAACAGAGAAAGCUUGCUUUCUGCUGACGACCGGCGCACGGGUGCGUAACGCGUAUACAAUCUACCUCUAACUAAGGGAUAGCCCAGAGAAAUUUGGAUUAACACCUUAUAGUAUUACAUUUUCGCAUGUUUAUGUAAUUAAAACUCCGGUGGUUAGAGAUGAGUAUGCGUCCCAUUAGCUUGUUGGUAAGGUAACGGCUUACCAAGGCAACGAUGGGUAGGGGGCCUGAGAGGGUGAUCCCCCACACUGGUACUGAGACACGGACCAGACUCCUACGGGAGGCAGCAGUGAGGAAUAUUGGUCAAUGGACGAAAGUCUGAACCAGCCAUGCCGCGUGAAGGAUGAAUGCCCUACGGGUUGUAAACUUCUUUUAUAUAGGAAGAAACCUCUCUACGUGUAGAGAGUUGACGGUACUAUACGAAUAAGGACCGGCUAACUCCGUGCCAGCAGCCGCGGUAAUACGGAGGGUCCAAGCGUUAUCCGGAUUCAUUGGGUUUAAAGGGUGCGUAGGCGGAAUAUUAAGUCAGUGGUGAAAUCCUAUAGCCCAACUAUAGAACUGCCAUUGAUACUGGUACUCUUGAGUUUGGUUGAAGUGGGCGGAAUAUGUCAUGUAGCGGUGAAAUGCAUAGAUAUGACAUAGAACACCGAUCGCGAAGGCAGCUUACUAAGCUAUUACUGACACUGAGGGACGAAAGCGUGGGGAGCGAACAGGAUUAGAUACCCUGGUAGUCCACGCUGUAAACGGUGAUCACUAGUGCUGGCGAUACACUGUCAGUGACUAAGCGAAAGUGUUAAGUGAUCCACCUGGGGAGUACGAUCGCAAGGUUGAAACUCAAAGGAAUUGACGGGGGCCCGCACAAGCGGUGGAGCAUGUGGUUUAAUUCGAUGAUACGCGAGGAACCUUACCAGGGCUUAAAUGCAAAAUGACAGAUGUGGAAACACGUCCUUCUUCGGACAGUUUGCAAGGUGCUGCAUGGCUGUCGUCAGCUCGUGCCGUGAGGUGUUGGGUUAAGUCCCGUAACGAGCGCAACCCCUAUCUUUAGUUGCCAGCGGUUCGGCCGGGGACUCUAAAGAAACUGCCAGCGUAAGCUGUGAGGAAGGUGGGGAUGACGUCAAGUCAUCACGGCCCUUACGUCCUGGGCCACACACGUGCUACAAUGGUGAGUACAAAGGGCAGCUACCUGGUGACAGGAUGCUAAUCUCUAAAGCUCAUCUCAGUUCGGAUUGGAGUCUGCAACUCGACUCUAUGAAGCUGGAAUCGCUAGUAAUCGCGCAUCAGCCAUGGCGCGGUGAAUACGUUCCCGGGCCUUGUACACACCGCCCGUCAAACAAUGGAAGCUGGGGGUACCUGAAGUCGGUAACCGUAAGGAGCUGCCUAGGGUAAAACUGGUAACUGGGGCUA